CUCCUGCCUCAGCCUCAUGAGUCACUGGGAUUACAAGCAUGAGCCACUGCACCCCACAUUAAAGGAAAUCGGAGGCAUACUCUACUGAAGAGGUUUGGGAAGUUCCACCAAAGUGAAGGCCAAGGCAUGUUCACUGUUCAAACAGGACAGAGGAAAGAAACCAAAGAACAGGAGCCCUGUGCACAGCCUGAAAGAUCAGCCUUCUGUCCCUACCCGGCCCCAAACAGCAGCUGCUGCAAACUCACAGCUGCUGGCUCCUCAAACUCUGCAGCUCCUUGGUUCUGGGUCCCUGGAUCAGUUGCCAGGAUACUGGAUGACCCAGAUUCCCUCUGGAGAAGGGCUUGCUGCCUCGGUGUGAGGAGAGCAUCAGCAGACAGCAGAUGGCUUUGGGCUCCACAUCCAGGAACCUCGCUGGUGGGGUAGGAGCAGCUAGAGCAGUCCCAGUCAGCCUCAGGUCCCUAGCGUGGGCAGUUUUCUCGUCACAAUCCCACGCCUGGUUGGCCAAGGCUUUGACAGGAUUGCACUGCAGUUCAAUUUCUUUCUCUACCAAUCCUGCUUCACCUGCUUCUUUUCAUAGACGUUAAUCCUGACUAACCAUCUUUUACCCCAAGUUGUCUCAGUAUCUUCUUCCCAAAAGCCCAACCAGCAGUACCUUCCCAUCCCAUGCCUGUUUCUGCACCACUCCGGGUAAAUGCCUCUUCUAGUUACUUAAUCUAAUGGCUCACAUGCUUUGCUUUUCAUACUCUAGCUUGCCAUCCCCUGCACAGUAAUUAUCUAUGCCACAGUCUGUAUCCCCCACUAGACCCUGAGCUCUGUGUUGCUGCUUUAUCUUGCUCAUCUGGGUAUACUUGAGGCACAGCACAAUUGUUGGCACACAAUUGAUAUUGAAUGAACUAAUAGAAAUCCUAGUGAUCAGGGUAUUGGAAAUCAAUAUCAGAAUCCCACUGUUUACGUUAUUCAUAAAGAAUGAGUGCCCCUGUUUUGAGAUUUCCUAAGAUUUGGCCUGAGAAGUCAUGGUUCAUUUAAUGAAAGCAGCAACAUUUCAGAGUAUAAAAGCCUUUAGAGAGAAAGAACCAUGGAAAAAAAAAAUCUUCAAGAGGAACAAGCUACAAAGAGGAAGAAAAUGGGGACCAUGUAGCCAUUCUUUGGAUCUAUAAAUAAAUAAAUCUGUUACCUGGUCAAGAUCUUUGGGGAUAUCUUUCUACAGAUAUGUAUAGAAAUGUAUGUUAUCUGAAGAAAUUUGCAAUCUUGGGGAACAACUGUCUCCAAACGAUAAGAAAGCUGAAACUGGAGAGAUUUAUUAAACAUCCUGAAGCUUUCAGGAUCCUCAAAAAUGGAGUUUAAGUCCAGAUCUGCUUCUGUGAACACAAAGAAGGACUGCGACCUGAUUCAAGCUGAGAAGUUCUGUAUGGAGGAGAUGAAGAAUGGCCCGGCUUGAAUAGCCAAGCAGAGAUGUCUUUCUCACAAUGGGUGUCAUCAGGAGCCUUGGCAUCUUGGCUCCCUAUUCACUCUUCUGAAUCUACCCAUAAAAGCUUUUAUAAAGCCGACAAAGCCCUUUUGG
Ictidomys tridecemlineatus (thirteen-lined ground squirrel) is the source of this 1561-nucleotide non-coding RNA. Lineage: Eukaryota; Metazoa; Chordata; Mammalia; Rodentia; Sciuridae. The record is from RefSeq and is a predicted model, not a curated record.